GCUGGAGCAGAAGUGGAGCAGCUGGGACCCGGACUGCGCUGCCGUGGGAUGCCGGCAUGGCGGCCAGCAGCUCUGCAAGGUGUCAGAGGCUGGCCCCUGUUCGUGUUGUCCGGCUGAGGUGGCCUGAACGGACUUAGGAACACAGUUUGGUGGAUGGGGAGCAAGGAACCGGAGCCCAGCUGUAGCCUGAUGGGGCGCCAGGGACGCUGUUGGCCAGGCUGAGGAUAAACACAGCAGUUCUCUUCUCAGCCCGCCUCUGACCACAACCACCUUCCUUCCUCCUCAGGCACCGAGUCACGCUGCUGGAGGCACCGAAGAGUACCUGGAAACCCCAGGAGAUGCUGGAAAGUGAAGACGAAGAAGAAAAAACCACGCAGAGAAGCAC
Ochotona curzoniae (black-lipped pika) is the source of this 385-nucleotide long non-coding RNA. RefSeq lists it as uncharacterized. The transcript is spliced from 3 exons. Lineage: Eukaryota; Metazoa; Chordata; Mammalia; Lagomorpha; Ochotonidae. The record is from RefSeq and is a predicted model, not a curated record.